CAGGAUUGACGAAUUAUUUGAAGGAACUAGGGAUUUUGUUGGGCCUAUGUUCGGUAUGGUUUUCAGACCAGAAAAGGAAGUUCUGAAAGAUGCACAGGAAAAAUUGUUACCAAGAUAUUUGCCCGUUUUUAAUAAAGUAUUAGAGGAGAACGGAAGUGGUUAUCUUGUUGGUAAAAGUUUGACCUUGGCUGACCUUAGUUUAAUAGAGCCUCUACUAAGAUUUGUAGAAUAUCUGGGUGACCAAGUCUUAACAGGAUAUCUACAACUACAGACUUUGUAUAAGAAUAUGAUUUCAAAUGAAAAGAUAGCAUCCUUCCUGUCUGGGCCACAUAGAAAACCUAAAAAUGAUCAGGCGUACGUCGAUGUCUGGUCGUAAAUGAUCCUAGAGGUUUAUUCCAGUUAUUCUGGUACUAGGCAUAUUACAUAGAGAAAAAAAUAUAUUAUUAUAUUAAUUAACAUUUAAUAAAAUAUAAGUUUUACGAUCCAUUUAAUACAAGGUUUAUUAAGAAGGGAUAAAAUUGUAAUGUGUAA
This is a long non-coding RNA of Patella vulgata (common limpet), 531 nucleotides long. RefSeq lists it as uncharacterized. The transcript is spliced from 3 exons. The record is from RefSeq and is a predicted model, not a curated record. Lineage: Eukaryota; Metazoa; Mollusca; Gastropoda; Patellidae.